GCUUAGAUAUAUUUGCCUACUUGUCGUGUGUACAUAGCAGUCAUAGAACAAUAUUCAUUGCACAUUAGGAGAGUCGCUAGUGGAGAGAGCCGAAUCAGCGUAGAAGCUACACAUUUUAUUUCCUGAGAGAAUCACCUUGAUCUCACAGAGUACUAUUUCUGACCAUUUCAAAGUUUCCACCCACCCUCCCUGAAUGUUUGAGUGUGUUCUAAAAGUGUUUCCUGAUGUAAAUAAUCCUCUUCUUCUCUUCCUAGUAUAGGAAUUUCUCUCUCUUCCCCUCUGUCCCUCCCGACUUUGUAAUGCUAAGCUUGUAAAUAUAAAAAGAGAGUGAAUGACUGGUGCUGCUUCCCCCCGCCCCCCAUUUCUUCUUCAAAACUCUCGUUUAUGUAAAUGAUGUUCCUCACUGCUGCAGCUCCUGUCGUUACUGUGAUCCAGACCUUGGAAACACUUAAUUGGCACUACAGUUUUCCUUUUUUUUGUUGUUUCUUUCAGAUACAGCACACAGAAAAUAAGAGAGGAGAUAAUUGUGUAUUUUAAUUAGGGAUGGGCAUCAAAAUGGAUGAAUUGGUCAUUAGAAUUGGAGUGCUCUCCUUCAUUCAGUCUCCACUAGGGCAACAUGGGGAAACAGGAGUUCAGAACGCUCAGAGAGGGAUUCUAACAUCCUAUUAAAAUUAGAUUCAAAGUUAAUUUUCCCCAUAAUCAAUGAAGGAAAUGUCACAUGCCCAUUCCUAAUUGGAAUUAGUUUUUCCUGUCCACGCUUCAAGUUAGCGUAGCGGAUGGAGAGCGGUUUGGGAAGCUCCUGCAUGUACUGACAUGAAUAAAAUCCAGAGAUUCAAUUCAACUGACCUGGGGGGAGGGGUUAUUUUUAUUUGGUUCUGAAUAAAUAAGCGCUGUGUGGUUAAUGUGCGCUUCUUUUUCUUACAUGGAGUUCUAGUUCAUAGAGUUGCAUUUGCAGCCACACCACCACCACAGUGUAUGGUGAAAGUGAUUUUGCACUAUUAAGGAUCGUUCUCAUUUGAAUAUGCUUCACUGUUGAGCCCGUGCGCUCAUCCGGAAAUUGUGCAGCAAAAAGCUGUCCCUCCUUCAUGUCUGCUUAUGUCUUCCACAUUUCAUAGCGUAGACGAGGUCCUUGAAGUCCCAUCACUUGCAGCAUGUGUUUUGUAGAUGCAAAUUGUUGCCACAGUGAUGAAUCAGCACCUGAUAUCUAUAGGUUGCCACAUUGUCCAAAAAAAAGUACCUAUAUAUCUCAGUCAUGUUCAUAUUGGAGCUUACUUUAUGUUUAAAACAUGUUUGUCAGAUUCUGUAAUCUGUAUUGUCAUCCUGGUAUACAGGAAGUGUUCUAGUUCCAAACUUGUAAAUCGUCACGUCUCCUCAUCGCUUCUUGGUUUCGAAAAAAGAGGAUGCUCUGUGUGUUUUUUGGGUUUUUUUUUUUAUUGUCAUCAAUGAUGCUAUAUAUCACCAGUGUGGGAGUGUCCAAUCCUUUCACGUGGCACCGACAUGCACACAAAGUCUUUGUCAUACUUAAUCUAUCCAUCGUUCAAAGUUUUUUUUUUUUUUAAUUUACAAUGUUUUUCUGGAAGAGUCCACACAUGACAGGCACAUUUUCCAGUAAAUAUUUUGGUCUACCUACACAUUCUAUACAACCUGACUAUUGUUGGCAGCUCUGCACACGGGAACACGACUGAAUAGGCACUCUGUUGUCAUAUUACAUAAGUUAUAAAUUCAAAGGAAAUCGCACUAAACCAUAUUUGUUUCAUAGACAAAGUGUAUACAUGACACAAGAACCUGAUUUAUUAAUGCCCAGCAAUGCACAGUAGCGUAUUACACUAGAACGCGAACUGAGUGCCUAUACAACCUAAUAAGAUGAUCCCUUGUUUCUACCUACAUGCCAAACGUCUUAUACACACUAUUUCACCAUGUGUGGCUUCCUGUUUUUUUUUAUCAUGGGCCAAUGUUUAAAGCACGUAGACUGGAACGCAGCUUCACACGUUCUGCUGUAGUCAAAGAAUGGAGAGUUGUUAGGGUGGUGAUGUCACUCGAUGCUGGAUGCACAGUCCGCUCUGAACAUGGGCCGUAGCGGCCCCCAGUGGUCAAAGUCAGGUACUACCUGUUUACGAUGGAACGCAGUUUACUGUUUCUUUGGCUCGAAUCAGGGAUAUUUUCCUACUGCGGUAUGAGGCGAGGACGUAAAAUUCCAGUUGGACUCCCAAAAACGCGCUUUUAGUGUAUAUUAGGUGAAACUUUAGUGAAUUUGACUAUAGCGUGUGAUUAGACUUAUGUUUGCAACACUGGACCCAGUUAAAAUUACACAAUCUUUUAUUAUGGUGGAUCUUCAAAACCCUGUCUAUAACGAAAUGAGUUAUCAUUUUGCGAUUUUUUUAAACUAUUAAAAUACCUAGUAUGGAAGCGUCGUCAUUAAAUCUGCCUGUUUUCAAGCCCACGCACAGUUGUUAUGCCGAGCAAACGCUUGCGUAUCACCUCGAGAGUGCGCACGUCUUGACGUCACAGUUGCGUUCACCUCUUCAGCUUCCGGUAUUAUGGCCGCGCACUGAAGGAAAAGAAGGCGGCGGGUUCAGUGGCAUGUUUGGUUGGUGGUAGCUGUUAGUGGCGAUAUGAGGAAAUGUACGUCCUGGCCGGUGUGUUUGACGCAGCUGUUCCGGCUGGUUAUCCGUGAGUCGAGAGCUCGCGGUUCCCUCAGGAGGUACAGCAAGGUGUGCCUAGCCUUACCAGAGCGUCUCCAACUCUUUGAGUCUCUCAGGGAGAAAAAGGACAAUAACAGGAGGAGAACCAAAGUGUCUGCGAAGCCCCUCAGCAUCCGUGUAGGUGACAGCCAGGUGGUGAAGGGCACAGCUGGGGUCACCACACCGCUCUCUGUCGCUCAGAGUAUUCGGGAGAAAGGAGCUAUGGUGGGUAAGGUGAAUGGGGAGCUUUGGGACCUCGGACGCCCCCUGGAGGGGGACUGUGACCUGCAGCUUCUUGGUUUUGACACACUUGAGGGAAGAGAGGCCGUGUGGCGGACAGGAGCGUGUGUGCUCAGUGGGGUGCUGCGGACGGAGUUUGGUGCCAGGGUGUGUCGCGAAGGCGUGUCUGUGCUGGGACUUUACUGCGAUCACGUGAUGGAGAACAGCGACCCACUGCCUCUGAGUGAGGUGGAGGAGCGAUGCAAGGAGGCCGCCGCCCUCACGCUGCCUGUGAGCAGGCUGGAGCUCAGCACACACGAGAUCCAGGAGCUCUUCCAGGAGGACGUGCUCAGAUUACAGCUUGUCCAGGAGCAGAUGACCGGUCCCACUGCGAUAGUAUACAGGUGCGGAGAUGUCAUAGCAGUUUCUGAUGGUCCCCUCCUUCCACACACUGGCCUCCUCAGGGUGUUCAAGAUGCUCCAGCUGUCAACUCUGACCCUGGCCAACCGGAACGAGUGCGCGGGUUUGAUGCGUCUCUCCGGAGUGGCCUUUCCUAGAGAGAAGGAUAAGGUGGAGUGGGAGAGGGAGCAGGAGGAGGCCCGCAGGAGGGACCACAGACGCAUCGGGACGGACCAGGAGCUCUUCUUCUUCAAUGACGUCAGUCCAGGAAGCUGCUUCUUCCUGCCCAAAGGAGCACACGUGUACAACACCCUCACAGACUUCAUCAAGAGCGAGUACCGACGGCGAGGCUUCACCGAGGUCAUCACCCCGACGCUGUACAGCACUGCAUUGUGGGAGCGCUCGGGCCACUGGGAGCACUACAGCGACAACAUGUUCACCGUGACCUCCGAAGGCUGUCAGACAUAUGCGCUCAAACCCAUGAACUGCCCCGCACACUGCCUCAUGUUCGAGCAGCGUGUGCGCUCAUGGCGGGAGCUUCCUCUGCGCUGGGCCGACUUCGGGGCUUUGCACCGUAACGAGCUCUCAGGCGCUCUGGGAGGCCUCACCCGGGUCCGCAGGUUCUGCCAAGAUGACGCUCACAUCUUCUGCACACCUGAGCAGCUGGAAGAAGAGAUUGUGGCUUGUUUGGACUUUGUGAGGAGCGUUUAUCAAGUGUUUGGGUUUUCCUUUCACUGCCUCCUGUCGACACGUCCAACUCCGUGCCUCGGGGAGCCUGAGCAGUGGGACAGCGCUGAGCAGCAACUGGAGCGGAGCCUGCAGCACUUCGGCGAGCGCUGGGAGUUGAACCCUGGAGAUGGAGCCUUCUAUGGGCCAAAGAUUGACAUCCAGAUAAAAGACGCGAUUGGCCGACAGCACCAGUGCGCCACCAUCCAGUUGGACUUUCAGCUGCCAAUCAGAUUUGACCUCCAGUAUGUCGGACGGGACGGUCAUGUGCAUCGACCAGUGAUGAUCCACCGAGCGGUGUUGGGAUCGCUGGAGAGGAUGAUUGCCAUCUUGGCUGAAAACUUUGGAGGGAAAUGGCCCUUGUGGUUGUCCCCAGCGCAGAUCAUGGUCAUUCCUCUAGGGGGCAGCUGUGAGUCAGCUGCCAAGCAGGUGCUCCAUCAGUUCCGUGAAGCAGGCUUCAUGGCUGACCUGAAUGACGACACCAGCGCCACCUUGAGUAAGAAGAUCCGCUCCGCCCAGCUGGCGCAGUACAACUACAUGUUAGUGGUGGGCGAUGAGGAGUGCCAGAGCGGCACCGUGAGUGUGCGAAGCCGAGGCGGUAAACAACUGGGCAGGAGGCCCGUGGAAGAGGUUCUGAUGAGCCUCAAGCGGCUGCGAGACGCCAGGAGCAACCAAGAUGACUUUUAAAAUAAAGAACAACUGGCUUACCUUUAAAAGAGUGGAAGAAAGGGAGGAUGCAGAGGAGGAUUUGACUAAAAUAGGAGUUGGAGCCAGCGGCAGCAGCAGCAGUGUGUUUUGGUUGUGUUGUGGUGGAAACAGCCAAGUCAAGGCCUUUCUACCUUUUUAAAAUAUCGUCCCAGGCUAUUCUGGAAGGAUAACCUCUUCCCCUCACAGAUCUCCUUAUAACGGCACACAGAAUCCAUGACGCCUGUAGCAUUCAUUGGCAUUCAGACUGAAUGCCACUCUCCACUCUGAACAUUUUACGAUGUUCGUUUUCACUUCCAUGCGGAUGGCUUUCCUUUUCUUUGGCGCACUGUUGCUUAGGAGACAUUAAAAGAAAUGAAAUUUCUAAAUGGCCCCCACAACCUUCAUUUUUCUGGAUUUGCUGGAAAAAGUUGGGACACCCCAACACUGAAAGGUUCCGCUACAAUCCUCUCCCGUGCUUCACACGUUUAAACCUGUAAAGACAAAGUCAAGCUUCCUGGAACGACUGCAACCCCUCAUCAUGCAAGUACACGCUACCUUUAAUGCAUGACUUUUAUUUAGUUACUCACUGGAGUGUACUGUAAUUACAACUGAGCGUGUGUUGCCUUUGCAUUGUACAGCUGGGCUCUUAAUGCAACUCAAGGACCAGGUUCUAGCAGAUGUGUUGAUGUUCUUGACUGGUACGACUGCAGGUCUGCAGAGAGACAAAACCUGUGCUCUGGCUUCCAGCACCUCAGGAUGCAGCGCUCUCUGCUUGACAUACUGGUAGCUUCCACUUCCAACUCGCCCAGCUUUGGUCCUUUUUAUACUCACCGGUCACGAAAUUAGGUACAGUUGAGAGAUGAUGUUCACCUCAUCUGGGUUGGUGAGGCAGCCGUUUAAAUUGCCCUGCACUGGGUGAGCAAUUCUAUCAAAAUUAUUAGUAGAAAACUUUGUUGAACCAAGAUUUGACUGAUUAGUAUUAUGCAGUGGAACCUUGGUUAAUGUCCGCCCCGGUUAGGGUGUCUUUUUGUUUUUUUGGCUUAUCGUUGAAAAUUGAUGCCACUAUUUUUGCUUUGGAUUGCGUGCAUUCUCUGGUUGUUAAUAUACUGCGUGAGGCCAUCUGCAUUCUUAACAUUUGUGAGCAUCCUAUUAGCUACCGAACAAAAUGGCACCCCGGAACGGAAAGUUACCGAUAGCCGUCCAUCUGUGAUGUCAUCAGCGGUCGACUCAAAAAUGUUAACACAGAAGCCAUUUUUAUAGUUUAAUAAUUAUUUUACAUGCAUAAAAAAAAUCUAGAUGCAUAUGAAUAAGGAAUGAAAGGGCUACGUGAACAUCUAAGGUUACUUUUACCUGAAGACGACUUUUUAAAAUCAGAAGACCAGAAGGUACGUUGCACGUCUACGACGUAAUCAGCAUUUGACUCAAAAAUGUUACCAUAAACACGUUUUUAGUUUUAUAAUUAUAUUUUACAUGCAUAAAGCAAUUAAAAAUGAAAGGGAUACGUAAACAUUUGAAGGUACCUUUACCUUACCUGAAGACUGCUGUUCCCAAAGACAGGAUGUGGCAGCGAGACACCACCGUCUUGUCAUGAGUUGAAGUCAGCUGGGAUAGGCUCCAGCAUACCCCUGCCACCCUAGUGAGGAUAAAUGGCAUAGAAAAUGGAUGGAUGGCUAUUUCUUGAAUUCAGUAGUGUUUCACACCUUUAUCAAAAUGCAACUUUCUUUGGCUCCAUUUUGGGUUACAGUAUUGAGGUGAGAAACAUUACUGAGUUCAAGAAACAACUCACGUCAAAACAGGAAGGUGGUGGUGGUUGAUCUCAGUGCCACAUGGUGUCUUUGGGGACAGUCACGUCUUCAAUGAAGGUUUGGUUUGGUUUAGUUUAUUUGAACAUGAAGGUUCCAAUGGAAUACAUCUCAUGAAUCAUUAUCAUUCUUUCACAGUUCCUCAUGUCCAAAAGGAGUAGGAAGAAGCAAAGCUUGUUUAAUCCUACCCCCCAUCCAAAUCUACAUCUAGUACAGUACAUGUAGUUCACUUCCUGCAUUCCAUGUCAUGUUUUCUCAUGUCAGAAUAAUAAUACAAAAUAGAUAACUGUAAGACACCCCUCCCAAAGGGAAAAAAAAAUUAUAUUUAUAUAUACAUUAAUAAUAAUAAUAAUAAUAACAAUACUAAAUAAAUAAAGAAAGAAAGAACAAAGCUUUUUUUAUAAACAAAAAAUAACAAACCUGACAGAACAUCAUUGUGAUGAUGAAGACUCUUCUGCCUUGUAUUUAGCAAACAUCAACUGCUUGUAUUGUUUUUUGAAUGUGCUCAUCUCUGUACAUUGUUUGACUUCCUUACUCAAUCCAUUCCAUAGUUUAAUUCCACAUACAGAAAUGCUGUGGCUUUUCAGCGUAGUUCUUGCAUAUAAAUGUUUUAGGUUUAAUUUUCCUCUAAGAUCAUAUUUCUCCUCUCUGAUUGAAAAAUACUGUUUGAGGUUUUUGGGUAACGAGUUAUUAUUAACUUUAUACAUUAUUCUAGCAUUCUAAAGUUUUUUCUAAAGUUUACUAAAUCUGCAAAUUUUAAUAUCUGUGAUUUUAAAAAUAAAGGUUUGUAUGUUGUCUAUACUCGCAUUAUGAAUGAUCCUCACCAUCUUUUUUGCAGUCCAGUGAGUGAGUGAAGAUUGCUUUUGUAAUUAUUUCCCCAUAUCUCCACACAAUACAUUAAAUAUGCUAAUACUAAGGAACAGUACAGAGUGUGGAGUGAUUUUUGGUCAAGAACAUAUUUUGCUUUAUUCAAUAUAGAGAUAUUUCUCGCCACCUUUUGUUGUAUAUUUUUAAUAUGAGAUUUCCAACUCAUUUUUUCAUCUAUUACAACCCCAAGGAAUUUAUAUUCUUCCACUUUUUCAAUAUCCACUCCAUUAAUUUGUAUUUGGUUGUACGUGUAAGGUAAAAGUAACCUGAAAUGUUCAUUUAUCCCUUUCAUUCAUAUUUACAUGUCCUUCGUUUAUUGACCAUCCCUAAAUAGCCCCCAAAAAGUGAAAUCCGCAAAUCAGCCAACUUCAUUUUUUUACAAUAUUAUAUGUUUUAAGGCAGUAAAACCCCUCACUAUGGGCACAGGCAAUAACGUUUUCUCACAUUUCUCUCUUGUUUAAACACGCUCAAAAAAGCUGAAACCUUUGUUUGAACUUAAAUGAUCAACCUUAAUGAUCAACACAAGAAAUUAAGUCACUCACGUGUAUUUCACUCAUGUGACUGUGCCUUUUCAACCUGGCACCUUCCCUCUGUAUGGUAGCGUUUUUGUAUCCUUGUUAAAACAUAUUGCUGCAGACAACCGAAGAUUCAUUUACACGCUAGCAAGCUAGCGAUGACACAGGAGACAUGCCGAGCUAUGAAGGAGAUUGAUUGACAGUGGUCUACAGCCAAUCAGGAUGCAGAAAACAAUGGGCAGUGCAGACAGAUGAGAGACAAUGCAAUGCAAUGCAAUUCCUCUUAAAAGGCCAGGCUCGCUUGUUACAGCAUUCAUACAGCUGUAAUUAAAAAAAGAAGCACAAAAAAAAGCCUGCGAAAGGUGAACCGCGAUAGAGCGAGGGAAUACUGUACACUGCUCAAAUCAAUAAAGGGAACACUAAAAUAACACAUCCUAGAUGUGAAUGAAUGAAAUAUUAUUCAAUACUUUGUUCUUUACAUAGUUGAACAAAAUCACACAAUGGAAAUCAAAUGUAUUAUUAUUAUUGGGGGUGUCUUGCUGUCAUUUCAUUUGCACACCAGCGUGUGAAAUUGAUUGUCAGUCUGUGUUGCUUCCCAAUUGGACAGUUUGAUUUCAAGUGUGAUUGAUUGUGUUCCCAUUAUUUUUUUUGCACAGUUGAUUUAUAAGAAUUUCCAAUUGUUUUCGCCGUGUAAAACUAUAAAAACGCGUUUUAUGAUCUUUUUGGCGUUCUGGAACAGAUUGAUUGGAUUUACAUGAUUUCUUAUGGGAAAAAUGGAUUCGGUUAGCGUCCGUUUUGGUUCAGACCUUCUGGAAUGAAUUAAUGACGCAAUCCUGGGUUCCACCGUAUUAUGGUUUUAGAAUGUCAUUCAGCAUCUUUGAACACCUAGCGCGGCACUCGAUACAGUGAAUCCCCGCACAUUUGCAAUUCAGUAUUCACGGCCCUGCAAAAUUGCAGAUUUGUGGUUAUUUUAUUUUCCCCAAAAAUUGGUAAUUGAUCAAGAUUUGAUAACAUGGGUAAAAUGUACAACACGUGUCAAAGCUCAAUUGUGGCCAGCGAAAGCCUGGGAAUAAUAUCUGUUAAUCAUGUGCUUCACCGUUUCCCAUCUAAAUGUAUUUGUUCUUUCAUUUUGACAGAAUUUUUUUUUUCUAAACUUUAAUAUUAUCUGAUCAUGCAACAAGAUAUUACAAGCAUUUUUAGUUAUCAAAACUAAAUACUUGAACAUCUGCCUGUCAUUCUCACUUCACUUCUCAUUUCAAA
Molecule: RNA transcript, 9156 nt
Organism: Dunckerocampus dactyliophorus (ringed pipefish)
Lineage: Eukaryota; Metazoa; Chordata; Actinopteri; Syngnathiformes; Syngnathidae
Gene: tars2
Gene name: threonyl-tRNA synthetase 2, mitochondrial
Exons: 20
Source: RefSeq, a predicted model, not a curated record